ACAGGCAGAUGGCGAGCGUGGCGACGAGGAUGGCGCGCCAGCGGGGCUUGAGCAUGUCGAUGGCGCCGCGGAGGCCGUUCUUCGAAACCGGCUCAUCAGGGAGUGCGGUGACGUCGUCGCUCAUGAGGCCACCGCCUGGACCUGCCCGAGCACUUCGCGGUAGCGGGGGCAGGUGCGCAUGAGUUCGGCGUGGGUGCCGGUUGCGGCGACUGCUCCCUCGUCCACAAGCACGACCUGGUCGGCGAGGGAG
RNAcentral lists this ribosomal RNA (250 nucleotides) under uncultured archaeon. RNAcentral describes it as "partial 16S ribosomal RNA". The record is from RNAcentral.